GUCCAAAGAAGAAAGGAAAACUGGAAACCAGCAGCUGCUGGAAUCUCUGCUGUUCUCUUCGUUUGUAUAGCUCUGAUUUUUUCCAUAUUUUGGAAAUAUAAGACUUCUCAUCAGUUUUCAAGUCGAGCUGUCAAUGAUGGGAAUGAGGUAAUAUCUUGGGUCAUUUAUCAGACUUGUGAGAUUUCAGCUCAACCAGCCGAGCCUGAUCUUCCCUUCCCUCAUCCAAGGACGUCUUCAGCAGUCAGACAUCCAAACACUUCAAUGAUCAGAAGAGGACCACGUGCUUCACUUCACAGUCAUUAGAAAACUAAAACAGAUCCAGAGUGAAAAUCUAUUAGUCACAGAAUCAGAAGAUUACUGGACUGAGGCUGCAUAUGUUUCUAUUUUCUACUGCUGUUAUUAGU
Molecule: long non-coding RNA, 404 nt
Organism: Cyprinodon tularosa
Lineage: Eukaryota; Metazoa; Chordata; Actinopteri; Cyprinodontiformes; Cyprinodontidae
Exons: 3
Source: RefSeq, a predicted model, not a curated record